Molecule: ribosomal RNA, 1273 nt
Filed under: Staphylococcus pseudoxylosus
Lineage: Bacteria; Bacillati; Bacillota; Bacilli; Caryophanales; Staphylococcaceae
Description: bacterial SSU rRNA
Rfam family: Bacterial small subunit ribosomal RNA
Source: RNAcentral
UACCUAUAAGACUGGGAUAACUUCGGGAAACCGGAGCUAAUACCGGAUAACAUUUGGAACCGCAUGGUUCUAAAGUGAAAGAUGGUUUUGCUAUCACUUAUAGAUGGACCCGCGCCGUAUUAGCUAGUUGGUAAGGUAACGGCUUACCAAGGCGACGAUACGUAGCCGACCUGAGAGGGUGAUCGGCCACACUGGAACUGAGACACGGUCCAGACUCCUACGGGAGGCAGCAGUAGGGAAUCUUCCGCAAUGGGCGAAAGCCUGACGGAGCAACGCCGCGUGAGUGAUGAAGGGUUUCGGCUCGUAAAACUCUGUUAUUAGGGAAGAACAAAUGUGUAAGUAACUGUGCACAUCUUGACGGUACCUAAUCAGAAAGCCACGGCUAACUACGUGCCAGCAGCCGCGGUAAUACGUAGGUGGCAAGCGUUAUCCGGAAUUAUUGGGCGUAAAGCGCGCGUAGGCGGUUUCUUAAGUCUGAUGUGAAAGCCCACGGCUCAACCGUGGAGGGUCAUUGGAAACUGGGAAACUUGAGUGCAGAAGAGGAAAGUGGAAUUCCAUGUGUAGCGGUGAAAUGCGCAGAGAUAUGGAGGAACACCAGUGGCGAAGGCGACUUUCUGGUCUGUAACUGACGCUGAUGUGCGAAAGCGUGGGGAUCAAACAGGAUUAGAUACCCUGGUAGUCCACGCCGUAAACGAUGAGUGCUAAGUGUUAGGGGGUUUCCGCCCCUUAGUGCUGCAGCUAACGCAUUAAGCACUCCGCCUGGGGAGUACGACCGCAAGGUUGAAACUCAAAGGAAUUGACGGGGACCCGCACAAGCGGUGGAGCAUGUGGUUUAAUUCGAAGCAACGCGAAGAACCUUACCAAAUCUUGACAUCCUUUGAAAACUCUAGAGAUAGAGCCUUCCCCUUCGGGGGACAAAGUGACAGGUGGUGCAUGGUUGUCGUCAGCUCGUGUCGUGAGAUGUUGGGUUAAGUCCCGCAACGAGCGCAACCCUUAAGCUUAGUUGCCAUCAUUAAGUUGGGCACUCUAGGUUGACUGCCGGUGACAAACCGGAGGAAGGUGGGGAUGACGUCAAAUCAUCAUGCCCCUUAUGAUUUGGGCUACACACGUGCUACAAUGGACAAUACAAAGGGCAGCUAAACCGCGAGGUCAUGCAAAUCCCAUAAAGUUGUUCUCAGUUCGGAUUGUAGUCUGCAACUCGACUACAUGAAGCUGGAAUCGCUAGUAAUCGUAGAUCAGCAUGCUACGGUGAAUACGUUCCCGGGUCUUGUAC